GAGGGUAUAGCUCAGUGGUAGAGCGUUUGCUUUGCAUGCAUGAGGUCCUGGGUUCAAUCCUGGUACCUCCA
Molecule: transfer RNA, 71 nt
Filed under: Camelus bactrianus (Bactrian camel)
Lineage: Eukaryota; Metazoa; Chordata; Mammalia; Artiodactyla; Camelidae
Also listed under: 2 other names
Rfam family: tRNA
About the family: Transfer RNA (tRNA) molecules are approximately 80 nucleotides in length. Their secondary structure includes four short double-helical elements and three loops (D, anti-codon, and T loops). Further hydrogen bonds mediate the characteristic L-shaped molecular structure. tRNAs have two regions of fundamental functional importance: the anti-codon, which is responsible for specific mRNA codon recognition, and the 3' end, to which the tRNAs corresponding amino acid is attached (by aminoacyl-tRNA synthetases). tRNAs cope with the degeneracy of the genetic code in two manners: having more than one tRNA (with a specific anti-codon) for a particular amino acid; and 'wobble' base-pairing, i.e. permitting non-standard base-pairing at the 3rd anti-codon position.
Source: Rfam by way of RNAcentral